This 348-nucleotide ribosomal RNA is filed under the name uncultured bacterium. RNAcentral describes it as "bacterial SSU rRNA". It matches the Rfam family "Bacterial small subunit ribosomal RNA", at positions 73 to 422 of the family's 1533-position model. The record is from RNAcentral.
GGAUUAGCAAUAGUCCUGAAAGUGGCGCACGGGUGAGUAAGACGUAGGUAACCUGCCCUGGAGUGGGGGAUAACAGUUGGAAACGACUGCUAACACCGCAUAAUACCGGUUGCUCGGGAGAGUGAGCGGUAAAAACUCUGGUGCUUCAGGAGGGGCCUGCGGCCGAUUAGCUAGUUGGCGGGGUAAGAGCCCACCAAGGCGAUGAUCGGUAGCUGGUCUGAGAGGACGAUCAGCCACACGGGAACUGAGACACGGUCCCGACUCCUACGGGGGGCAGCAGUGAGGAAUAUUGGGCAAUGGGCGCAAGCCUGACCCAGCAACGCCGCGUGGAGGAAGACGGCCUUCGGG